Schistosoma mattheei is the source of this 46-nucleotide non-coding RNA. The record is from Rfam. NCBI's taxonomy places the organism in Eukaryota, Metazoa, Platyhelminthes, Trematoda, Strigeidida, Schistosomatidae.
GCACUUCUGAAGAGUCCCACAAUAGUGCGAAACGGCCGUCCAGUAC